This 371-nucleotide ribosomal RNA is filed under the name uncultured organism. RNAcentral's name for it is "bacterial SSU rRNA". It matches the Rfam family "Bacterial small subunit ribosomal RNA", at positions 526 to 896 of the family's 1533-position model. The record is from RNAcentral.
CGUAGGUGGCAAGCGUUGUCCGGAAUUAUUGGGCGUAAAGCGCGCGCAGGCGGGAAUCUAAGUCUAUCUUAAAAGUGCGGGGCUCAACCCCGUGAUGGGAUAGAAACUGGGUUUCUUGAGUGUCGGAGAGGACAGUGGAAUUCCCAGUGUAGCGGUGAAAUGCGUAGAUAUUGGGAGGAACACCAGUGGCGAAGGCGACUGUCUGGACGAUGUCUGACGCUGAGGCGCGAAAGCCAGGGAAGUGAACGGGAUUAGAUACCCCGGUAAUCCUGGCCGUAAACGAUGGGUACUAGGUGUUGGGGGUAUCGACCCCUCCAGUGCCGGAGUUAACGCAAUAAGUACCCCGCCUGGGGAGUACGGCCGCAAGGUUG